GGUAGCAUGGCCUAGUGAUUAGGGCACUGGAAUGGGAGUCAGGAGACGUUGGUUCUAAUUCUGACUGCCACUG
RNAcentral lists this transfer RNA (73 nucleotides) under Chelonia mydas (Green sea turtle). It matches the Rfam family "tRNA". Rfam says of the family: Transfer RNA (tRNA) molecules are approximately 80 nucleotides in length. Lineage: Eukaryota; Metazoa; Chordata; Testudines; Cheloniidae. The record is from Rfam by way of RNAcentral.